RNAcentral lists this transfer RNA (48 nucleotides) under Gloriosa revoilii. RNAcentral describes it as "partial transfer RNA-Leu". The stretch from base 9 to 48 matches the Rfam family "tRNA", at positions 1 to 39 of the family's 71-position model. Rfam says of the family: Transfer RNA (tRNA) molecules are approximately 80 nucleotides in length. Their secondary structure includes four short double-helical elements and three loops (D, anti-codon, and T loops). The record is from RNAcentral. Lineage: Eukaryota; Viridiplantae; Streptophyta; Magnoliopsida; Liliales; Colchicaceae.
AUGGUUGGGUUGGGAUAGCUCAGUUGGUAGAGCAGAGGACUGAAAAUC